UACGAAGGGGGCUAGCGUUGCUCGGAAUGACUGGGCGUAAAGGGCGCGUAGGCGGUUUGGACAGUCAGAUGUGAAAUUCCUGGGCUCAACCUGGGGGCUGCAUUUGAUACGUUCGGACUAGAGUGGGGAAGAGGGUCGUGGAAUUCCCAGUGUAGAGGUGAAAUUCGUAGAUAUCGGGAGGAACACCAGUGGCGAAGGCGACUUCCUGGCCUGUUCUUGACGCUGAGGCGCGAAAGCUAGGGGAGCAAACGGG
This 253-nucleotide ribosomal RNA is filed under the name uncultured bacterium. RNAcentral describes it as "partial 16S ribosomal RNA". It matches the Rfam family "Bacterial small subunit ribosomal RNA", at positions 524 to 776 of the family's 1533-position model. The record is from RNAcentral.